Molecule: ribosomal RNA, 418 nt
Filed under: uncultured bacterium
Lineage: Bacteria
Description: bacterial SSU rRNA
Rfam family: Bacterial small subunit ribosomal RNA
Source: RNAcentral
GACGAACGCUGGCGGCGCGCCUAACACAUGCAAGUCGAACGGAGUUAUUUCAGCUGAAGCUUUCGGGUGGACGCAGGAAUAACUUAGUGGCGAACGGGUGAGUAACACGUGAGGAACCUGCCCUGGAGUGGGGGACAACAGUUGGAAACGACUGCUAAUACCGCAUAAGCCCACAGCACCGCAUGGUGCAGAGGGAAAAGGAGCAAUUCGCUUCAGGAUGGCCUCGCGUCCAAUUAGGUAGAUGGUGAGGUAACGGCCCACCAUGCCGACGAUUGGUAGCCGGACUGAGAGGUUGAACGGCCACAUUGGGACUGAGACACGGGCCCAGACUCCUACGGGAGGCAGCAGUGGGGAAUAUUGCACAAUGGGGGAAACCCUGAUGCAGCGACGCCGCGUGGAGGAAGAAGGUUUUCGGAUU